Molecule: long non-coding RNA, 258 nt
Filed under: Elaeis guineensis (African oil palm)
Lineage: Eukaryota; Viridiplantae; Streptophyta; Magnoliopsida; Arecales; Arecaceae
Description: long non-coding RNA (EGUI_LNC012736)
Source: RNAcentral
CAAUCUUAAUCUCCGAUUCACAACUACAACCACCCCAUCUCUGUAUCUGAAUUUUGAUUCAUUGACACUAACGCAUUGCCCAUGAGGCCACAACCUCCACCUUCAUCUCUACAAACACCACCAUCGCUUCCCCAUUGAUAGCCCUAAGCUCUCGAUCUUCUACUACUUCCACAAAAGCUAGCUCCUGCACUUAGUCCAAUUAGUGUCUUCACCUCACCGUCGAGCUUUGCACCAUUAUCAUUGCCUCCGACUACCGCC